Molecule: ribosomal RNA, 253 nt
Filed under: uncultured bacterium
Lineage: Bacteria
Description: partial 16S ribosomal RNA
Rfam family: Bacterial small subunit ribosomal RNA
Source: RNAcentral
UACGAAGGGGGCUAGCGUUGCUCGGAAUCACUGGGCGUAAAGCGCACGUAGGCGGCUUUCUAAGUCAGGGGUGAAAUCCUGGAGCUCAACUCCAGAACUGCCUUUGAUACUGGAGAGCUUGAGUCCGGAAGAGGUGAGUGGAACUCCGAGUGUAGAGGUGAAAUUCGUAGAUAUUCGGAAGAACACCAGUGGCGAAGGCGGCUGACUGGUCCGGUACUGACGCUGAGGUGCGAAAGCGUGGGGAGCAAACAGG